Molecule: transfer RNA, 82 nt
Filed under: Danionella translucida
Lineage: Eukaryota; Metazoa; Chordata; Actinopteri; Cypriniformes; Danionidae
Also listed under: 1 other name
Rfam family: tRNA
About the family: Transfer RNA (tRNA) molecules are approximately 80 nucleotides in length. Their secondary structure includes four short double-helical elements and three loops (D, anti-codon, and T loops). Further hydrogen bonds mediate the characteristic L-shaped molecular structure. tRNAs have two regions of fundamental functional importance: the anti-codon, which is responsible for specific mRNA codon recognition, and the 3' end, to which the tRNAs corresponding amino acid is attached (by aminoacyl-tRNA synthetases). tRNAs cope with the degeneracy of the genetic code in two manners: having more than one tRNA (with a specific anti-codon) for a particular amino acid; and 'wobble' base-pairing, i.e. permitting non-standard base-pairing at the 3rd anti-codon position.
Source: Rfam by way of RNAcentral
GUUGUAGUGGCCAAGUGGUUAAGGAGAUGGACUCGAAUUCCAUUGGGGUGUCCCUGCCCAGGUUAAAAUCCUGCCGAUAACG